GAAGAUUCAACAGCCAUGUUGGAUUGCUUGUCUCGGUCUGCAAACCAGUUCCAUAGUAAUCUAAAGUUUGGGGAAACUGCUGUUGAGCUUUGUUAAUAAAUAUGCCAAACAGUGGACUCCACUGCAAGUAGCAAUGAUGGGCCAUAUUUGUGGACAUCACAAGACGUUCUUGCAGAAGACCAUAAGUUCCACCUUAAAGAGGGCUGACCAGAUGACCAACCAAUGCUGCAGUGGUCACCUCAUUUUGUACACAUUUUGAAGACACAUAAUUGUAUCAGAGAAACAUCUUCUCAUGCUGUGUUUGGUGUCCCUAUUAUGUGUUACUGAAGUGUAUUAAAAGUGGCAUAAAAAACAGGGA
Haliotis rubra (blacklip abalone) is the source of this 358-nucleotide long non-coding RNA. RefSeq lists it as uncharacterized. The record is from RefSeq and is a predicted model, not a curated record. The transcript is spliced from 2 exons. Lineage: Eukaryota; Metazoa; Mollusca; Gastropoda; Lepetellida; Haliotidae.